This 253-nucleotide ribosomal RNA is filed under the name uncultured bacterium. RNAcentral describes it as "partial 16S ribosomal RNA". It matches the Rfam family "Bacterial small subunit ribosomal RNA", at positions 524 to 776 of the family's 1533-position model. The record is from RNAcentral.
UACGUAGGCAGCAAGCGUUGUUCGGAAUUACUGGGCGUAAAGCGUGCGUAGGCGGUGCCUCAAGUUUGGUGUGAAAUCUCCCGGCUCAACUGGGAGGGUGCGCCGAAAACUGAGGUGCUCGAGUGUGGGAGAGGUAGGCGGAAUUCCUGGUGUAGCGGUGAAAUGCGUAGAUAUCAGGAGGAACACCGGCGGUGUAGACGGCUUACUGGACCAUUACUGACGCUGAGGCACGAAAGUGUGGGGAGCGAACAGG